GUCCCUGUAGCGCAAUGGAUAGCGCAUUGGACUUCUAAUUCAAAGAUAAUGGGUUCGAAUCUCAUUUGGGGUU
Molecule: non-coding RNA, 73 nt
Organism: Trichonephila clavipes
Lineage: Eukaryota; Metazoa; Arthropoda; Arachnida; Araneae; Nephilidae
Source: the annotation of a GenBank genome assembly